RNAcentral lists this small RNA (246 nucleotides) under Histoplasma capsulatum. Its description in RNAcentral is "hypothetical RNA". RNAcentral also lists the same sequence under 1 other name. Lineage: Eukaryota; Fungi; Ascomycota; Eurotiomycetes; Onygenales; Ajellomycetaceae. The record is from RNAcentral.
CGCAGAUUAGCAUUCCGACCCAGAGCAAACCAGUCGAAAGAAGCCUCCUAACAACCUCGAAUUUUGAUGUCACGAGGUGAUAUCGUGGUAGGAAAUAAAGUGAAGAAAUAAGACCAUCUGUUGUUCGCAAGAGGUGAUAUUUAUAGGGGACGACGGGAAUAGCCCUGGAUAUCGGAAUGAUAGUUAGCCUAGCGCCUCAGUUGGAUCACUUGUGAGACGGUUAUAUAGAACCAAUUGCGCUUCAAA